RNAcentral lists this ribosomal RNA (484 nucleotides) under uncultured bacterium. RNAcentral describes it as "partial 16S ribosomal RNA". It matches the Rfam family "Bacterial small subunit ribosomal RNA", at positions 30 to 507 of the family's 1533-position model. The record is from RNAcentral.
AUUGAACGCUGGCGGCAGGCCUAACACAUGCAAGUCGAGCGGAUGAAGGGAGCUUGCUCCUGGAUUCAGCGGCGGACGGGUGAGUAAUGCCUAGGAAUCUGCCUGGUAGUGGGGGAUAACAUCCGGAAACGGGCGCUAAUACCGCAUACGUCCUGAGGGAGAAAGUGGGGGAUCUUCGGACCUCACGCUAUCAGAUGAGCCUAGGCCGGAUUAGCUAGUUGGUGGGGUAAAGGCCUACCAAGGCGACGAUCCGUAACUGGUCUGAGAGGAUGAUCAGUCACACUGGAACUGAGACACGGUCCAGACUCCUACGGGAGGCAGCAGUGGGGAAUAUUGGACAAUGGGCGAAAGCCUGAUCCAGCCAUGCCGCGUGUGUGAAGAAGGUCUUCGGAUUGUAAAGCACUUUAAGUUGGGAGGAAGGGCAGUAAGUUAAUACCUUGCUGUUUUGACGUUACCAACAGAAUAAGCACCGGCUAACUUCGUG